UCUGGUGGCAAUUGCGAAGAGGUCACACCCGUUCCCAUACCGAACACGGAAGUUAAGCUCUUCAGCGCCGAUGGUAGUUGGGGGCUGUCCCCCUGCAAGAGUAGGACGGUGCCAGGC
RNAcentral lists this ribosomal RNA (117 nucleotides) under Oikeobacillus pervagus. Lineage: Bacteria; Bacillati; Bacillota; Bacilli; Caryophanales; Bacillaceae. The record is from RNAcentral.